RNAcentral lists this ribosomal RNA (450 nucleotides) under uncultured bacterium. Its description in RNAcentral is "bacterial SSU rRNA". It matches the Rfam family "Bacterial small subunit ribosomal RNA", at positions 354 to 796 of the family's 1533-position model. The record is from RNAcentral.
GUGAGGAAUAUUGGGCAAUGGGCGAAAGCCUGACCCAGCCACGCCGCGUGAGUGAUGAAGGCCUUCGGGUUGUAAAGCUCUGUGGGGAGGGAAGAAAAAGCGGGAGAGUAACUGCUCUCGUGUUGACGGUACCUCCUUAGCAAGCACCGGCUAACUCUGUGCCAGCAGCCGCGGUAAUACAGAGGGUGCAAACGUUGCUCGGAAUUACUGGGCGUAAAGCGCGUGUAGGCUGACAUGCAAGUCGGGUGUGCAAUCCCAGGGCUCAACCUUGGAACUGCACUCGAAACUGCACGUCUUGAGUACUGGAGAGGGAAGCGGAAUUCCGGGUGUAGAGGUGAAAUUCGUAGAUAUCCGGAGGAACACCAGUGGCGAAGGCGGCUUCCUGGACAGUAACUGACGCUGAGACGCGAAAGCGUGGGGAGCAAACAGGAUUAGAAACCCUUGUAGUCC